GGAGUCUGGGCCGUAUCUCAGUCCCAAUGUGGCCGAAGAGCCUCUCAGCCCGGCUACUGAUCGUUGCCUUGGUCAGCCAUUACCUAACCAACUAGCUAAUCAGCCGCAAGCCCAUCUAUUAGCGGAUUGCUCCUUUUCUUGCUAGACCAUGCGGUCCUACAAGCUUAUGCGGUAUUAGCAAUGAUUUCUCAUUGUUAUUCCCCUCUAAUAGGUAGGUUGCUUACGUGUUACUCACCAGUCCGCCACUAAAGCCAUUGUUACAAUUUCUGCUUCAUUCAGAUAAAUCGUCAUUCCACUUCAUUUGUAACGACUUCCGUUCGACUUGCAUGUCUUAUGUGCGCCGCCAGCGUUUAUC
Molecule: ribosomal RNA, 355 nt
Filed under: uncultured Oscillospiraceae bacterium
Lineage: Bacteria; Bacillati; Bacillota; Clostridia; Eubacteriales; Oscillospiraceae
Description: partial 16S ribosomal RNA
Source: RNAcentral